GUAAACCUGACAAUACUCUUUAAAGAGUGAAAAUCACCCCUUUUUUGCCGAUAUAUGGAGCUGUCAAAAAAAUGGGUAAAUAUUUUUUCCAGAUAAUGCGUAAUUUAUGCCCAUUUUUAUGUUCCUUGUUUUAACCCAUUAAAGAGUGAAAAACAUGUUAAACUUUUAAAAGAAAUUGGUGCUUUUGCUUUUGUGUCGGAAUCGAAAUAAAGUCAACAAAUCCCUUUAAUUGCAAAAAUAUUGCCCUGCGACCGUAUUCGUUUUCGUCUCGGUUUUCGUAGUCCUUCAAGUGAACCAGCCUUUGGCGGAGACGAUCCGGUAAUACAGCUACCCAUCGUCAUGUAUAGGAAGCAGCGGUGCGGCAUCAAAACUUCAUCGAAUCUUGAGAUGCUUCGGAAGCUGUGCGAAACUUUGGCAGGAAAUCGAAACGAAACGGUGCUAAAAGGCGAAUCAGCUGCUGAUCAACAAACUCGGAUUGGAUCAACGGCUCGCAUUGGAUAGCAUCCCAGGUUAGCACGAACAUCCAAAGAACGUACUGGACCAGUUUUGCGGUAUUAUCGAUUAUACCAAGGAUCGCACGUAGGAUAUAGCCAAGGAAUCUCCUGUCGGCAAUGAUCAUCUUAAACUUCCCCGAUAAUAGAAUUGACUAGGAAAUAAAGAUCAUGAACGCAUCCAGAGACAUUCGACAACCCAGAAAUUUGAAGCGCCAUCGAUUUAGUGAUUGUUCCCAAAGACACCCGCUGUUGAUUUUUCCUUUUGUGUCCCGGGAAGGAUACAUUCACAUUCAUUCUUACUUAAUAGGACGACAGGAGCCUCCGUUCUGAUAACGAUGGGAUGCGAUCCGGUUUCGACAGGAGAAAGAACGUUUUAAUGUUUACAAGCAAAAUCUCUUGACGAUUGUUAAAUAUAUAUACAUAUUAAAAAAUGAUGUAAUAAAGAAUCAGUUCUUGAACCCCCCAAUAAACGUGUCUUUGGUUUGAUUAAAAUAUUACUAAAAUUUAAAUGCCCUUUUAAAAGCAAAGGGUAAAAAAUACUCAUUUACGAAAAUCUUUUUUCUUGGCUAGUGAGUAAAAAAUACCCCUGAAUUUGACGUAUAGGCCGUUUACCCAUUAAUGAGUAAACGAUCUUUACUCUUUUAAUGAGUUGAA
Molecule: long non-coding RNA, 1148 nt
Organism: Armigeres subalbatus
Lineage: Eukaryota; Metazoa; Arthropoda; Insecta; Diptera; Culicidae
Exons: 3
Source: RefSeq, a predicted model, not a curated record